GACGAACGCUGGCGGCGUGCUUAACACAUGCAAGUCGAACGGAAAGGCCCUGCUUUUGUGGGGUGCUCGAGUGGCGAACGGGUGAGUAACACGUGAGUAACCUGCCCUUGACUUUGGGAUAACUUCAGGAAACUGGGGCUAAUACCGGAUAGGAGCUCCUGCUGCAUGGUGGGGGUUGGAAAGUUUCGGCGGUUGGGGAUGGACUCGCGGCUUAUCAGCUUGUUGGUGGGGUAGUGGCUUACCAAGGCUUUGACGGGUAGCCGGCCUGAGAGGGUGACCGGCCACAUUGGGGAUGAGGAACGGGCCAGGAUCCUACGGGGGGGAGCAGUGGGGAAUAUUGCAAAAUGGGCGGAAGCCUGAAGGCGGAACGGCGGGUGCGGGAUGACGGGCUUUCGGUUGUAAACCGGUUUAGGCCGUGACGGAGGGUGGGGGGAGGGAAUGGGUAAAGAAGCACCGGCUAACUACGUG
This 468-nucleotide ribosomal RNA is filed under the name uncultured bacterium. RNAcentral describes it as "partial 16S ribosomal RNA". It matches the Rfam family "Bacterial small subunit ribosomal RNA", at positions 28 to 507 of the family's 1533-position model. The record is from RNAcentral.